CCUACGGGUGGCAGCAGUGAGGAAUAUUGGUCAAUGGCCGUAAGGCUGAACCAGCCAAGUCGCGUGAAGGAAGAAGGAUCUAUGGUUUGUAAACUUCUUUUAUAUGGGAAUAAAAUGUUCCACGUGUGGGAUUUUGUAUGUACCAUAUGAAUAAGGAUCGGCUAACUCUGUGCCAGCAGCCGCGGUAAUACGGAGGAUCCGAGCGUUAUCCGGAUUUAUUGGGUUUAAAGGGAGCGUAGAUGGGUUGUUAAGUCAGUUGUGAAAGUUUGCGGCUCAACCGUAAAAUUGCAAUUGAUACUGGCAGCCUUGAGUACAGUUGAGGUAGGCGGAAUUCGUGGUGUAGCGGUGAAAUGCUUAGAUAUCACGAAGAACUCCGAUUGCGAAGGCAGCCUACUAAACUGCCACUGACAUUGAUGCUCGAAAGUGUGGGUAUCAAACAGGAUUAGAUACCCUUGUAGUC
Molecule: ribosomal RNA, 460 nt
Filed under: uncultured bacterium
Lineage: Bacteria
Description: partial 16S ribosomal RNA
Rfam family: Bacterial small subunit ribosomal RNA
Source: RNAcentral